CCAAUCUGCACCGCGCGCUCCGCACCCAAUCCCCCCUCUCCCCAGGCCCCAGCCCCCACCAGACAAACCCUAGCCUCACCAAGCCCCACAUCUCGCGCUCCUCCCUCCUCCGUCCUCGUUAGCCGCCGCCGUCGUUCUGCCUCCCUCCUCUCUCUCCUACAACCACGCCGCCAAGAGGAAGCCGUCAUUCGUGGCGCCAUGCCGCUGCCGGGGUGUUGCACACGCAUCGUUCCCCAUAGCCCCUCCCUCAUCCUCGCUCGUCACCACCGCUGCCUGCUACUCCCCUCCACCAUGGUUGGUGCUUCUGGGUUGAAUCUGGCGUUGGUGGGUCGGAACUCGAGAUAGAGGUCGAGACGGGGAAGGUCAGAAAAAUGAGAGACCGGAUGGAGGUGCUCGAGAUAGAGGAAGCUGGAGAUGGUGGGAUCCCUCUCCCCAUAUCUAUUCUCUUAGUUUUUCCUCUUCAAACCUUCAUUGAUGGUCUACCUCCCUCAACACAAUUAUCUUCAUUGUCCAUCCGGUGGUUGGAGCACGGGGCAACGCUCUGGUCGCGAUGGGGUUGAGCUGCGCAGGAGGGGGAGGAGGCUGGCGACAGGGAACCGGGCCAGGGAGGAGGCAAGCGGCAGUUGCGGAUGUGGUCGGUGGUUGAGGGAGGGUCUCCGACUAGAGCAGCAGGAGCAAGGAGCUCGAGGAAGUUCAGGUUUAUGGCUUCUCACGGAUUGUGAUUCUGGUCAUGCUACCUGUUAUGAAGGCUGAGGCGAGCAUCAUGGAGAUGAGCAGGCGAGUGGCUGAUACAGAGAGCUCCUCGAACAGGGAAGAGGCAUUGCUGGAGGAACUCGAAGAUGAGCUAGUCAAUUUUGGCAUGUCCAGUUCAUGUAACCUUUGCAUCUUUACAUGUCUUUGCCUUACUGCCAUUUUAUUUUUGCUGCUUUGGGAUUAGGUUCCGAAGUCAUGCCUUUGCCUUGCUAUUGUGCUGAUAUUGGAUGCAACAUUGUGGACCUUUGGUUCGAGCAUGCCAGCAUGGCCACGGAUUGUAGGGGAGGAAUGUAUUGCCUAAUGAGUUGUAUGCUUUCUUCGGAUCCUCUGUGCUUCCUAUCACAUCUAUCUUGGCCACCUACAAAUUCUUGGGUCCAGCAGGAAGUGUAACUCACAUUUUUAGAACACUGAUCCUUUAGGUAUAUAUAGUUUGGUUUUCUGAAAGUGGAUUGCAUUUGCUUCCUGAUCACAUUGAAACAAGAGUGGAAACAACCAUCGUCCGCCGUCCGUUAUUCCUCCCUUAGGUUCCUGAUCUGAAGCGGAGGGAACACGAGGUCACAUCCACAAAGUGGCGGAAGGGGGCUGCAACGUUUUUCUUCAGUCUGAUAAUCAUAUAGUAAUUAGACGGUGUAGUACUAUGGCGGUGGUAUACUGAUUUGGUGUAAGAAUCACUAACAUGACUUUACUUGUACAAAUCUUACAGGUUAAUGGUAUUAAGAAUUAGUAGCGUGUUUUUUUGUUUACUGCUGGAUUUGCUAACAAGUUGUCUCUUGUGUUGUUGUUGAUAUGUUGACUUGCUAUUUUUUGUUCAGUUGAAGGGUUCUCCAGGCUUAAGAUCUUUCUAGGAUAAUUGCGUCAUUGAAUCUGAAGAUAUUUGAUUGGUUUCUCAACCCAUGUAUCGAUAAGCAUUUUUUCAUCCUCAAUAUAUUGUUACUUACCUAACUUGUCGUACAUUUGUGAGGUUUCUAAGGAAGUUCACUUCUUGCACGCGGCGUAUAACUUGAGUUGCCUACAAAUGAUUUUGCCAGUUCGACGAAAACUUAAAAUAACCAAGGGAAAUUUCUCAGUUUUGUUGUUCUUGCUCUUCUUAGAUCUUAGGUUGGGGGUAUUAACAUAUAUGCCACACACUAAGUUUAGGUCUUAGUGUGAGAUUAAAUAGGGAUAAAUCCUUGUGCCAUGUUGAAGAAUUAGAAUUACAAAAAAGAAAGGAAAUAUUAAAGAAGGGAUAUGGUUGAUUAGGUUAUUUUGGUGUUUCUUUGUAAAUAAUGACAUGCUAACUUGCUGGUUUAAUUUAGGUGUGUGGAAUAUAGGAAAUACAAGGAGAGAUAUUCAGUUGCAAUCCAGCUUUAUUUUCAAAGUGAAACAUGGUAUACAUGCAUAGCAUGCUGGUCUUUUACUCUAUAGUUGUGUGUCGCCAUGGUGUCGACUUUGAACUUGCAAACUGAACUGUAAAAUGUUUUAAUGCCUUGGCGCAUGAAGUUUUCUUUGCCUGCUCUGACUACUUCAUUUAUGUUUAUUUAUCAGGUUAUGCAAUCUCCUGUGUUGCUGCAUGUUGAUCUUCUGUUUUGUUGUAACUCUGUUUUGCUGCUCGAGGACAAUUUCCUGGAUUAAUAUCUAUACUGGAGAUCUAGGAGUCCACCCAAAUUCAGUCUCCAAGAAGCCGUUCAUCCAGGAUCCACCAAAAUUCAAAUGAUAUGUGAAAAGUGUGUGCUAGAUGUGGCCCCUAUCCAGCGUUUUGAUUUGUCCACUCAGGUGCUUUUGUCUAGGUGGUAACACAACAAGUUGCUUAUCUUAUAGAAACUUAUUAUACAUACAGUCCUAUGUUCGUUCUGCUUGCAUGUUAGAGAAAGAGCUUCUGCCCCUAUGUGAGUAAUCCUAUGGGAAUUAGCAAUGUUGGUUGUACUUUCAAGCGGGCUGAAUCCAAUGCAAGUUUUUGGAGCAGUUGGGUUCCAGAACAAACGACUAGGUAUUCCCAAAGAGGUCAUUCCACUGGUGGCUAGCAUAAUACCUUCAUGUCGGGACAACGAUCCAAGCAAGCAACCAUCAUUCUACCAGCUCUUGUCAUCGUUGAAGAAAUUACAGUGGUUACAUUGUUACAGAAAGCCUAUGACAAUUUGCGAGUGUUGUUUGUGCAAUAUAUUGGUUUUAUGGGAGGUGCAUGUAUGAAUUCAGAUGGUAGUGGUCUCCUUGUUUACAGUUAUAAGAAUAAUAAAAAUAUUGAUAAUGGUCUUUCCACUAUUACAAUCUCAUAGAUUACAUUACCUGUUUCCAUUAGAAAGGAACCGUGGCUCAUGGGUUUACUGGAUGAUCUUUUUGAUGGACAUUUUAAAAAUAGCAUGGUUUAACACAUGUGAUUUUUAUUACGAGUAUCGAAUAUGUCCUUGCAAAAUGAAACUAUUUUCAUCGACAACAUGGCUUUAG
This 3174-nucleotide ribosomal RNA is filed under the name Triticum aestivum (bread wheat). Its description in RNAcentral is "partial small subunit ribosomal RNA". Lineage: Eukaryota; Viridiplantae; Streptophyta; Magnoliopsida; Poales; Poaceae. The record is from RNAcentral.